UACGUAGGGUGCGAGCGUUGUCCGGAAUUACUGGGCGUAAAGAGCUCGUAGGUGGUUUGUCGCGUUGUUCGUGAAAACUCACAGCUUAACUUUGGGCGUGCGGGCGAUACGGGCAGACUGGAGUACUGCAGGGGAGACUGGAAUUCCUGGUGUAGCGGUGGAAUGCGCAGAUAUCAGGAGGAACACCGGUGGCGAAGGCGGGUCUCUGGGCCUUACCUGACGCUGAGGCGCGAAAGCUAGGGGAGCGAACAGG
RNAcentral lists this ribosomal RNA (253 nucleotides) under uncultured bacterium. Its description in RNAcentral is "partial 16S ribosomal RNA". It matches the Rfam family "Bacterial small subunit ribosomal RNA", at positions 524 to 776 of the family's 1533-position model. The record is from RNAcentral.